ACAAUGGAGAGUGCUAGUGUGGUGUCACAUGGUGCAACAUGGCUCAGUGUUGUGUGAAACUAAGAGUCCCUGGUUUCUAGUACGGUGCCUGACAGAUAGAUGACUUUCUUUAUAUGUUGCUGAAGACAGGCAGAGAGGAAGAAAGGAAGAGAGGAUAAAGGGAGGAAUAAACUUGAUAUAAGCAUCUUUGCAUAAUUAACAACUGGGUCAAAUUUUCUUCAUUUCAUUGAGAUUCUUGAUACAAGCCUCUGCUGAUGAAUUGGAUUCCAAAAAGGUUAAUCGUCCUCGAAGAGAGAGAGAAACAAAAGAAAAAUGAAAAAAGGAAAGAAAUUUUCUCCACAAAGACUCAGAAAAGCUACAAUCCUAAGAAGUCAAAACUAUAAUCGGCUUGAGUUGAAGAAUCCAAGGAUCUUUACAGUUUUGUGACCUGUCCAAGGUUACACAGCUCACCUUUUCAUUUUGCACUGGGCCCAAGUUAUGUAGCCAGCCUGCUUAGAGAUCUCUACUUACCCCAGUUUUCUGAUUUAUAAAACAAAAAUAAUAAUAAUAUUGUUAAAUUAAAUGAAGCCUAAAGCUG
Homo sapiens (human) is the source of this 577-nucleotide long non-coding RNA. Ensembl annotates it as long intergenic non-protein coding RNA 2401. NCBI's taxonomy places the organism in Eukaryota, Metazoa, Chordata, Mammalia, Primates, Hominidae. The record is from Ensembl.